This 634-nucleotide ribosomal RNA is filed under the name Enterobacter sp. RNAcentral describes it as "bacterial SSU rRNA". It matches the Rfam family "Bacterial small subunit ribosomal RNA", at positions 766 to 1415 of the family's 1533-position model. The record is from RNAcentral. Lineage: Bacteria; Pseudomonadati; Pseudomonadota; Gammaproteobacteria; Enterobacterales; Enterobacteriaceae.
GAGCAAACAGGAUUAGAUACCCUGGUAGUCCACGCCGUAAACGAUGUCGACUUGGAGGUUGUGCCCUUGAGGCGUGGCUUCCGGAGCUAACGCGUUAAGUCGACCGCCUGGGGAGUACGGCCGCAAGGUUAAAACUCAAAUGAAUUGACGGGGGCCCGCACAAGCGGUGGAGCAUGUGGUUUAAUUCGAUGCAACGCGAAGAACCUUACCUACUCUUGACAUCCAGAGAAGAGGUGCCUUCGGGAACUCUGAGACAGGUGCUGCAUGGCUGUCGUCAGCUCGUGUUGUGAAAUGUUGGGUUAAGUCCCGCAACGAGCGCAACCCUUAUCCUUUGUUGCCAGCGGUUAGGCCGGGAACUCAAAGGAGACUGCCAGUGAUAAACUGGAGGAAGGUGGGGAUGACGUCAAGUCAUCAUGGCCCUUACGAGUAGGGCUACACACGUGCUACAAUGGCGCAUACAAAGAGAAGCGACCUCGCGAGAGCAAGCGGACCUCAUAAAGUGCGUCGUAGUCCGGAUUGGAGUCUGCAACUCGACUCCAUGAAGUCGGAAUCGCUAGUAAUCGUGGAUCAGAAUGCCACGGUGAAUACGUUCCCGGGCCUUGUACACACCGCCCGUCACACCAUGGGAGUGGGU